This 306-nucleotide ribosomal RNA is filed under the name Alexandrium margalefii. RNAcentral's name for it is "partial Eukaryotic large subunit ribosomal RNA". It matches the Rfam family "Eukaryotic large subunit ribosomal RNA", at positions 2982 to 3314 of the family's 3401-position model. The record is from RNAcentral. Lineage: Eukaryota; Dinophyceae; Gonyaulacales; Pyrocystaceae.
GUUAGUUUUACCCUACCGAUUAUUUGUUAUCGCAAUAGUAAUUCAGGUCAGUACGAGAGGAACCCCUCAUUCAGAUAAUUGGUAAUGCGGUUGCCUGAAAAGCCAAUGCCGCAAAGCUACCCUCUGUUGGUUUAGGGCUGAACGCCUCUAAGUCCGAAACCAUGCUAGAAAGCUAUGAUAUUCACCUCUUUCUUGGUUCUUAACGAGUACCGAUAUAUUGAAACCAUAAGAUCCGCCCGGCCGUCAAAGGCCGACGCAGUGAAUAAUAAUUUCAAAUCUUGAAAGAGAUAGAUCCUUUGUAGACGA